GCAGUAGAUCGAUUCAUCGCUCUGGGAAACCAGGGAGGAAAGUCCGGGCAACACAGGGCACCAAACUCCGGAAAGCGGAGAUAUCCGUGAGGGUAUAGGUUACAAAGAAGAAAAUAACCGCCCCGAUUCGUCGGGGUAAGGGUGAGAAGGUGGAGUAAGAGCCCACCAGGCCGGAUGGCAACAUUCGGUGCUGUUUGUCUUUUGGGUUGCAAGACCAUGUAUACCGGCAAUUAAGAACUGCUCGUUCGAUGUCGGGGGGUAGGUCGCUUAGAUAAAUGAUGAAUAAUGCAAUUCGUUGCAUCACAGAACCCGGCUUACAGAUCUACUGUUUUU
Molecule: RNase P RNA, 333 nt
Filed under: Bacteroidetes bacterium GWA2_33_15
Lineage: Bacteria; Pseudomonadati; Bacteroidota
Also listed under: 4 other names
Description: RNase P RNA component class A
Rfam family: Bacterial RNase P class A
About the family: Ribonuclease P (RNase P) is a ubiquitous endoribonuclease, found in archaea, bacteria and eukarya as well as chloroplasts and mitochondria.
Source: RNAcentral